UACGAAGGGGGCUAGCGUUGCUCGGAAUUACUGGGCGUAAAGGGCGCGUAGGCGGAUGUUUAAGUCAGCGGUGAAAGCCCAGGGCUCAACCUUGGAACUGCCAUUGAUACUGGACAUCUUGAGUACGGGAGAGGUGAGUGGAACACCGAGUGUAGAGGUGAAAUUCGUAGAUAUUCGGAAGAACACCAGUGGCGAAGGCGGCUCACUGGUCCGGUACUGACGCUGAGGUGCGAAAGCGUGGGGAGCAAACAGG
RNAcentral lists this ribosomal RNA (253 nucleotides) under uncultured bacterium. Its description in RNAcentral is "partial 16S ribosomal RNA". It matches the Rfam family "Bacterial small subunit ribosomal RNA", at positions 524 to 776 of the family's 1533-position model. The record is from RNAcentral.